RNAcentral lists this long non-coding RNA (247 nucleotides) under Lathyrus oleraceus (garden pea). RNAcentral describes it as "Pisum sativum (pea) long non-coding RNA (PSAT_LNC024653)". The record is from RNAcentral. Lineage: Eukaryota; Viridiplantae; Streptophyta; Magnoliopsida; Fabales; Fabaceae.
GGGGUCUUAGGGUCAAAAUUGGGGUCUUACUGAUCCUUAGGAUGAUUAGUUUCAUUUUCUCGAGUGUUUGUAUUUUGGUUUUUGAAAUUGUACUCAGUGUAAUCCUUCCAAAUAAUAUGAAUAAAGGAGAUUUUUAUGGUCAAUCAUAUUGUUAUUAUUGUUAUUAUAUAUUUGAAAGUAAAAUAGAAUGUUCCUUGAAAAUAAAAUCAAACAAAACAUUAUAUUUCAUGCAUCAUUUGCAUAACAG